CUCAAAUCAACACGGAUGGUUGCUGGCUGCCUGCGGCCGAGCGCCGAUGUGCGGAUUGGGCGCCGGCGCCAGCGCCGGCUUGCAGGGGCACGACUGCGCAGUUGAGGUGGCGCGGCCGCCGUCGAGCCCCAAACACCGAGCGGGCGGGACGGACAGGCUGUGGUCCUGGGCGCCCAACGAUCGGCUACACAGGCGGGGACGCGACGAGCGAGCAAGAUGGCGAAAUCCGGAGGUCGCGAAAGGAAGCGAGCGGCUGGCUCGAUGCGUCGGUGGCUGGGUCUGGAACUCCCUACUCUUUUUUUUUCUUUUUUGAGACAUGGAACUCCCUACUCUGGUCUCAGCGGCCAGGGCAAUCCUGGCUGCGUGAAUUUUUUUUCUCAGCAAUCUCAGCCUGGGCAGAGGGUCAUGAAUGGUAUUGGGCUUUUAUUUUAUUUUAUUUUAUUUUCCUGGCCCAUAUUGAAUCAGAUAGGCUGGUCCAAAAUUCCAGGGUGGGCCUAGCUGCCUUCAUAUCAAUUUUACACACGUCAGAACAUCCCUAUGAAAUUUGUUUUAGCCAGAGACAUUCAUAAUAUGAUAUUUCACCUUUCGUAUUAACUGUAUUGUAAGAUCGAAAGUUUUCAUUCAUUUCUAUAUCAAGAAAACAGCAAGUUAUAAUGAGCUUAGGAAAUAAUAUAAUUGCAAUUCCGGUCAUAUGUAUGUUCCGUAUUUUGUGAUCUUUUGAAGCUAUAAGUACUGCAUAUGAUUAUACCAAUUUUUGUACUCGAUGAUUGAACCAUGGCCGUACACAAGUAAUGGUAGGAAAAUCUAACCUAAACAUGUUAAAAAGUGUCCCCUACCUGGGGUCCUUACAUUAAAAAUGACAAUAAAAGUAGAACUAUCCAUUUUGAGAAACAUAGACACAUGGACUGCUAGCACGCGCAGGAGCAUUAGUUGAUGAACAAACUAUUCAUUAUAAGGACUGAGAGGGUAUUCUAGCAAUGACUGGUGAAUGAACACUGGAUUAUGUUGCCAUGGAUUAUGUUGCCAUACAGGGAUAAUAAGUGAGGUAAUAGGAGUAAGGUGAAAAAGUGAAAAUACAAGGAAGUAACUAGAGACAUGACAUUGCACCACUAAAAGAACAAGACUUCUAUAUGACCAAUAAGAAAAACUACUUUUAGAUACACACAAUCGAUGCUUACACCGGAAUACUAUUCACACGGUAAAUGCUUAAAAUUCUUACAUUGUUGGCUAAAAUCCGGACAAAAAUCAUUGAUGCUAAUAGACCAUUGGAUAAGAAACCAAGUGAAAAAUACAAAAAAAAUAUGUAUUAUGAAAUCUAUGUUGUACAUGACAAAUAAAGGAGCAUAUUGAGUCAUGUAUUAUGCCUUAUCUUAUCACAUAAGGACUGUACCAACAACUUCAGGAAUUAAUAAAAGUCGUGCAAAAUAAGAUCUCACAAUGUUUAUAUCUAAAAAUUAUAGAUGUACCGUAUAUAUCUAAAAAAUAUAAGAAAAUCUCAAAUAUAAAGCACCGAAUAUACACCCAUAUAAAUAUAACAACACAUAAAAAUCUAGCCGCGCAAAUGCGCGGAUCACCCCGCUAGUUUUGAUAUAAUUACAGACGUGUUACUGUAAUAUGCAUCGUAAAGUAGGCUGUUGGCUGGCGGUGGCAAAAUGCUGGUGAAGUAAAUUUGGGUGGUUGGUUGCUGGUGAUCUUUUAACUGUAGCGUCGGUGCAACAGUUGGGGUAAAAAGGAGAGCCUGUGCAUUCAGUCUGUCCAUUUGGUUGUGAACAAACGCCUCCACCCAAGUGAAGCGAAGAACAGCUUUGUGCCUAACGGAGAGGGAGAAAUUUCAAGUUGGUGGAUGGAAUGGAGGGACUGCAUUCAUCUAAGGUUUUGAUAGCAACGAGCAGAUCUGAAGAAGAAGACGAUAAGAGAGAGUUAAUCCGUGGUGAUGUUGUUAGUAGUAGCAGCCCGGUAGAUGUUGCUAAGGACUCCUAUCCAAUAGAAGAUUGUGGAAGCACAAAAGGAUCAUUCGGUGGUGUUGGUAACAAUUUCAAGGGGCAUGGCAGAUUCGGAGCAUCGGAUCUGCAGAAAACUAAGGAAAUUAGGAAUUGAAGGGGUUGAGUGGAUAAACAAAAUGGUGCACACAGAUCUUAAUCAUUCAGCUUGGUUAAUGCUUAAUGUCAUGCCUGAUGAGCGUGCUCUAAGAAUUGGGGUAGAUGAUUGUGACAUAGUUCAUAUUAGAGAAGCUGCGACAGCAAACAUAACUAGGAACAGAAUGGGUGGUUCAAUAAAUAUUCCAGUUUGUGAAGGUGCCCCAAGCCAUAGUGAAAUCAAAGUUGUGCGAAGCAUACUGAAACUUUAUGAUGUAACUGAAGAAAUAACAGUUUCUGAACUUGUUGCACUGUUGUUGGGAGAAAGUAAGAAGGGGUUGGAAUUAGAUGAGGAAGGCGCUUCACGCACGGAGAGAUCAUUUGCAAUGCUUUACCUUUCUAUUGCACUUGGUCCGGUGGAGAAAAAAUGUUGUGUGAACAGGAGUUCUUAUAUGAUGGUGAUACUUUAUCCUGAUUUGAAAGAUGUCAAUUGGGGAAAAUAUGUCGUUGAUGAGAUAAUAAGCGGUGCAAGGAAA
Molecule: long non-coding RNA, 2611 nt
Organism: Aegilops tauschii subsp. strangulata
Lineage: Eukaryota; Viridiplantae; Streptophyta; Magnoliopsida; Poales; Poaceae
Source: RefSeq, a predicted model, not a curated record